GAAACACUUGCAAACUUGGAGAGACAGAUCUAUGCUUUUGAAGGAAGCUACCUGGAAGACACUCAAAUGUAUGGCAAUAUUAUCCGUGGCUGGGAUCGGUAUCUGACCAAUCAAAAAAACUCCAAUAGCAAAAACGAUCGGAGGAACCGGAAGUUCAAGGAGGCCGAGCGGCUCUUCAGCAAAUCCUCAGUCACAUCGGCCGCUGCAGUAAGUGCCUUGGCAGGAGUUCAGGACCAGCUCAUCGAAAAGAGGGAACCAGGAAGUGGGACAGAAAGCGAUACUUCUCCUGACUUCCACAAUCAGGAGAACGAGCCUGCCCAGGAGGACCCCGAGGACCUGGACGGUUCCGUUCAGGGAGUGAAGCCCCAGAAGGCUGCCUCCUCUACCUCCUCAGGGAGUCACCACAGCAGCCACAAAAAAAGGAAGAAUAAAAACCGACACAGUUCUCUGAGUAUGCUGCCUUCAGAUACGGGGAAACACUUAAAGCUCCUAAAUGCGAGCAUUCCUUCGUAGGAACCACCUGAGCACUGCUACUUUUGCAGUGGGAAAUGAGAUGGGGAUGACACCAGUGCACAGAGAGAAAUAGUGUUUCCUCCAAAUAAAUAGUGCUGAAGGACCACCGCUUUACUGUUUUCUGCAAACCAAAAACCACUGUGCUAAUCUCAAAGUAUAGUAAGAAACAGCAAAGAAUUGUCCCCUACCAUCUUGGUAUGUAUAUUAGGUUAGGCUGGGAAGUUUUUUUUAAAAACAGAAAAACGUGAUGGAGGAUUGAUCUGAAGUUAAACAAAAAGCCCCGAGCUGACUAUUAGAAGACUUGUUAGCAGCAGCUUCCGGCUGUGGAGCCCUGCUUCCCCUCUGACCUCACAGCGACAAAUGUCCCUCACCUGACUGUGACCAUCCACCUCUGCUUCCCCAGACCCAGUGCCUGUAACUGGCUAGUCUGUCCUAACUGUAGUGACGAAUCCUUUCUAUAAGACUGGGUCAUUCGCUGUUGUCAUCAUUAGUAGCAGAACAGCGGGAAGAUGUGUGGUUGGUCCCAGUCCCCGCGGGUGGCUAACUGUGCAUUUCUCCCUUCUUAGAAUGAAUGUCUCCCCCCAAACUGGCUGGCACCAGCUCCAUCUGUGAUUGUCCCCCCAUCGAGAAGUGCACAUCUCUGGUUUUGUGUUAUGCUGAAAGUAGAACCCAAGUUCCAUUGCAGAUGGAGGCUGUAAAUAUCUGCCAUUCUUUUGUUUUGUUUUGUGUUGUAUUAUUUUUUUAUUGUUGUUUUUACCAUCUGGUUUUCUUUUGGGACAUUUUGUGAUGCCUGUACCCUUCCUGAUGACACAUCUGAUCGUCUGUUUCAUGUGUCAGCAUUCAUUACUGAAAACUAAAGUGGCUUUCUAGAACUGAAUGGGCAA
Molecule: non-coding RNA, 1397 nt
Organism: Cricetulus griseus (Chinese hamster)
Lineage: Eukaryota; Metazoa; Chordata; Mammalia; Rodentia; Cricetidae
Source: RefSeq, a predicted model, not a curated record